GAGCACUGUUUCGGCAAGGGGGUCAUCCCGACUUACCAACCCGAUGCAAACUGCGAAUACCGGAGAAUGUUAUCACGGGAGACACACGGCGGGUGCUAACGUCCGUCGUGAAGAGGGAAACAACCCAGACCGCCAGCUAAGGUCCCAAAGUCAUGGUUAAGUGGGAAACGAUGUGGGAAGGCCCAGACAGCCAGGAUGUUGGCUUAGAAGCAGCCAUCAUUUAAAGAAAGCGUAAUAGCUCACUGGUCGAGUCGGCCUGCGCGGAAGAUGUAACGGGGCUAAACCAUGCACCGAAGCUGCGGCAGCGACACUAUGUGUUGUUGGGUAGGGGAGCGUUCUGUAAGCCUGUGAAGGUGUACUGUGAGGUAUGCUGGAGGUAUCAGAAGUGCGAAUGCUGACAUAAGUAACGAUAAAGCGGGUGAAAAGCCCGCUCGCCGGAAGACCAAGGGUUCCUGUCCAACGUUAAUCGGGGCAGGGUGAGUCGACCCCUAAGGCGAGGCCGAAAGGCGUAGUCGAUGGGAAACAGGUUAAUAUUCCUGUACUUGGUGUUACUGCGAAGGGGGGACGGAGAAGGCUAUGUUGGCCGGGCGACGGUUGUCCCGGUUUAAGCGUGUAGGCUGGUUUUCCAGGCAAAUCCGGAAAAUCAAGGCUGAGGCGUGAUGACGAGGCACUACGGUGCUGAAGCGACAAAUGCCCUGCUUCCAGGAAAAGCCUCUAAGCAUCAGGUAACAUCAAAUCGUACCCCAAACCGACACAGGUGGUCAGGUAGAGAAUACCAAGGCGCUUGAGAGAACUCGGGUGAAGGAACUAGGCAAAAUGGUGCCGUAACUUCGGGAGAAGGCACGCUGAUAUGUAGGUGAAGCGACUUGCUCGUGGAGCUGAAAUCAGUCGAAGAUACCAGCUGGCUGCAACUGUUUAUUAAAAACACAGCACUGUGCAAACACGAAAGUGGACGUAUACGGUGUGACGCCUGCCCGGUGCCGGAAGGUUAAUUGAUGGGGUUAGCGGUAACGCGAAGCUCUUGAUCGAAGCCCCGGUAAACGGCGGCCGUAACUAUAACGGUCCUAAGGUAGCGAAAUUCCUUGUCGGGUAAGUUCCGACCUGCACGAAUGGCGUAAUGAUGGCCAGGCUGUCUCCACCCGAGACUCAGUGAAAUUGAACUCGCUGUGAAGAUGCAGUGUACCCGCGGCAAGACGGAAAGACCCCGUGAACCUUUACUAUAGCUUGACACUGAACAUUGAGCCUUGAUGUGUAGGAUAGGUGGGAGGCUUUGAAGUGUGGACGCCAGUCUGCAUGGAGCCGACCUUGAAAUACCACCCUUUAAUGUUUGAUGUUCUAACGUGGGCCCCUUACCGGGGUUGCGGACAGUGUCUGGUGGGUAGUUUGACUGGGGCGGUCUCCUCCUAAAGAGUAACGGAGGAGCACGAAGGUUGGCUAAUCCUGGUCGGACAUCAGGAGGUUAGUGCAAUGGCAUAAGCCAGCUUGACUGCGAGCGUGACGGCGCGAGCAGGUGCGAAAGCAGGUCAUAGUGAUCCGGUGGUUCUGAAUGGAAGGGCCAUCGCUCAACGGAUAAAAGGUACUCCGGGGAUAACAGGCUGAUACCGCCCAAGAGUUCAUAUCGACGGCGGUGUUUGGCACCUCGAUGUCGGCUCAUCACAUCCUGGGGCUGAAGUAGGUCCCAAGGGUAUGGCUGUUCGCCAUUUAAAGUGGUACGCGAGCUGGGUUUAGAACGUCGUGAGACAGUUCGGUCCCUAUCUGCCGUGGGCGCUGGAGAACUGAGGGGGGCUGCUCCUAGUACGAGAGGACCGGAGUGGACGCAUCACUGGUGUUCGGGUUGUCAUGCCAAUGGCACUGCCCGGUAGCUAAAUGCGGAAGAGAUAAGUGCUGAAAGCAUCUAAGCACGAAACUUGCCCCGAGAUGAGUUCUCCCUGACUCCUUGAGAGUCCUGAAGGAACGUUGAAGACGACGACGUUGAUAGGCCGGGUGUGUAAGCGCAGCGAUGCGUUGAGCUAACCGGUACUAAUGAACCGUGAGGCUUAACCUU
RNAcentral lists this ribosomal RNA (2044 nucleotides) under Escherichia coli. RNAcentral describes it as "partial 23S ribosomal RNA". It matches the Rfam family "Bacterial large subunit ribosomal RNA", at positions 905 to 2925 of the family's 2925-position model. The record is from RNAcentral. Lineage: Bacteria; Pseudomonadati; Pseudomonadota; Gammaproteobacteria; Enterobacterales; Enterobacteriaceae.